RNAcentral lists this ribosomal RNA (112 nucleotides) under Pogona vitticeps (central bearded dragon). Lineage: Eukaryota; Metazoa; Chordata; Lepidosauria; Squamata; Agamidae. The record is from RNAcentral.
GCUCACCGUACCACCUUGUACACUCAAAAUCUUAUCUGAUUUUGAAAGCUAAGAAGGAUCAGGCCAGGUUAGUACUUGGAUGGAAGACGACCCAGGAUCUCCAAGCAGGGCU